RNAcentral lists this ribosomal RNA (514 nucleotides) under uncultured Chlamydia sp. Its description in RNAcentral is "partial 23S ribosomal RNA". It matches the Rfam family "Bacterial large subunit ribosomal RNA", at positions 941 to 1454 of the family's 2925-position model. The record is from RNAcentral. Lineage: Bacteria; Pseudomonadati; Chlamydiota; Chlamydiia; Chlamydiales; Chlamydiaceae.
CACGGAAAUCAAACUCCGAAUACCAAAAGCGAGUCCGGGAGAUAGACAGCGGGGGCUAAGCUUCGUUGUCGAGAGGGGAACAGCCCAGACCGCCGAUUAAGGUCCCAAAUUUUAUGCUAAGUGAGUAAGGAAGUGAUGAUUCUAAGACAGUUGGAAUGUUGGCUUAGAGGCAGCAAUCAUUUAAAGAGUGCGUAACAGCUCACCAAUCGAGAAUCAUUGCGCCAAUAAUAAUCGGGGCUCAAGCAUAAAACCGAAAUCGCGGGUGUAUAUUUAUAUAUACGCGGUAGGAGAGCGUAGUAUUCAGCAGUGAAGGUAUACCGUAAGGAGUGCUGGAGCGGAUACUAGUGAAGAUCCAUGGCAUAAGUAACGAUAAAGGAAGUGAAAAUCUUCCUCGCCGUAAGCACAAGGUUUCCAGGGUCAAGCUCGUCUUCCCUGGGUUAGUCGGCCCCUAAGUCGAGGCACAAAUGCGUAGACGAUGGAGCAACAGGUUAAAUAUUCCUGUACCACCUAAAAC